AGCGAACGCUGGCGGCAGGCCUAACACAUGCAAGUCGAACGAAGUCUUCGGACUUAGUGGCGGACGGGUGAGUAACGCGUGGGAAUCUGCCCUUAGGUUCGGAAUAACAGCUGGAAACGGCUGCUAAUACCGGAUGAUAUCGCGAGAUCAAAGAUUUAUCGCCUGAGGAUGAGCCCGCGUUGGAUUAGGUAGUUGGUGGGGUAAAGGCCUACCAAGCCGACGAUCCAUAGCUGGUCUGAGAGGAUGAUCAGCCACACUGGGACUGAGACACGGCCCAGACUCCUACGGGAGGCAGCAGUGGGGAAUAUUGGACAAUGGGCGAAAGCCUGAUCCAGCAAUGCCGCGUGAGUGAUGAAGGCCCUAGGGUUGUAAAGCUCUUUUACCCGGGAAGAUAAUGACUGUACCGGGAGAAUAAGCCCCGGCUAACUCCGUGCCAGCCGCCGCGGUAA
RNAcentral lists this ribosomal RNA (449 nucleotides) under uncultured bacterium. Its description in RNAcentral is "partial 16S ribosomal RNA". It matches the Rfam family "Bacterial small subunit ribosomal RNA", at positions 29 to 523 of the family's 1533-position model. The record is from RNAcentral.